This 253-nucleotide ribosomal RNA is filed under the name uncultured Allostella sp. RNAcentral's name for it is "uncultured Stella sp. partial 16S ribosomal RNA". It matches the Rfam family "Bacterial small subunit ribosomal RNA", at positions 524 to 776 of the family's 1533-position model. Lineage: Bacteria; Pseudomonadati; Pseudomonadota; Alphaproteobacteria; Rhodospirillales; Allostellaceae. The record is from RNAcentral.
UACGAAGGGGGCUAGCGUUGUUCGGAAUUACUGGGCGUAAAGGGCGCGCAGGCGGCCUGCCAAGUCAGAUGUGAAAGCCCCGGGCUCAACCUGGGAACUGCAUUUGAGACUGGCCGGCUAGAGUUCGGGAGAGGAGAGUGGAAUUCCCAGUGUAGAGGUGAAAUUCGUAGAUAUUGGGAAGAACACCGGUGGCGAAGGCGGCUCUCUGGACCGAUACUGACGCUGAGGCGCGAAAGCGUGGGGAGCAAACAGG